AGCAGCCGCGGUAAUUCCAGCUCCAAUAGCGUAUAUUAAAGUUGUUGCAGUUAAAAAGCUCGUAGUUGAAUUUCGGGAUCAAUAUAUUGGUCAUGCUUAGGUAUGUACUGGUAUUAUUGAUUUCUCCCUUCUGAAGAACCAUGAUGUCAUUAAUUUGAUGUCGUGGGGAAUCAGGACUGUUACUUUGAAAAAAUUAGAGUGUUUAAAGCAGGCUUUCGCUUGAAUACAUUAGCAUGGAAUAAUGAAAUAGGACGUUUGAUUCUAUUUUGUUGGUUUCUAGGAUCGACGUAAUGAUUAAUAGGGAUAGUUGGGGGCAUUAGUAUUCAAUUGUCAGAGGUGAAAUUCUUGGAUUUAUUGAAGACUAACUACUGCGAAAGCAUUUGCCAAGGAUGUUUUCAUUAAUCAAGAACGAAAGUUAGGGGAUCGAAGACGAUCAGAUACCGUCGUAGUCUUAACCAUAAACUAUGCCGACUAGGGAUCGGAUGAUGUUAAUUUUUUAAUGACUCAUUCGGCGCCUUACG
This 521-nucleotide ribosomal RNA is filed under the name uncultured Glomeraceae. RNAcentral's name for it is "SSU rRNA". It matches the Rfam family "Eukaryotic small subunit ribosomal RNA", at positions 569 to 1092 of the family's 1831-position model. Lineage: Eukaryota; Fungi; Glomeromycota; Glomeromycetes; Glomerales; Glomeraceae. The record is from RNAcentral.